ACGCUCGACACCUACGGAGGCAGCAGUGGGGAAUAUUGCACAAUGGGGGAAACCCUGAUGCAGCGACGCCGCGUGAGUGAAGAAGUAUUUCGGUAUGUAAAGCUCUAUCAGCAGGGAAGAAAAUGACGGUACCUGAGUAAGAAGCCCCGGCUAACUACGUGCCAGCAGUCGCGGUAAUCGUGAGGCGGCGUGGCAAGGC
RNAcentral lists this ribosomal RNA (199 nucleotides) under uncultured bacterium. Its description in RNAcentral is "partial 16S ribosomal RNA". It matches the Rfam family "Bacterial small subunit ribosomal RNA", at positions 328 to 538 of the family's 1533-position model. The record is from RNAcentral.